This is a long non-coding RNA of Capsicum annuum, 1327 nucleotides long. RefSeq lists it as uncharacterized. Lineage: Eukaryota; Viridiplantae; Streptophyta; Magnoliopsida; Solanales; Solanaceae. The record is from RefSeq and is a predicted model, not a curated record. The transcript is spliced from 2 exons.
AAACCCACCAGAUUCACACAUAUAGAGAGGGCAACAGAUUCCCACAAUAGAGGGGAGAAUUCCAUUUUUUUGGACACAAGACACCACUCCAUUUUUUCCACUCACAAAUAACAAUCAUAGAAACUCAUAGACAGACGCACAUAGCCAUCAAUAUACAUACAAUUAUCGAUCGAGAGAUUAGAGAGCAAAAUAGAUGGAGAGAAAGCUUAGAGAGACUGAUCAGAAUUGAGAAAUACAGACGAGGGAUAGAGUGAUCAGUUGAAAAAAAGGGGUGAAUAGAAUCGGAGAAAAUGUUUUUCGACAAAGCUUGUGACGGAAUCGCUAAUUUCACCGGCUACCAAACGGCUUAAAACCCUCCCCUGUUGAAACCUCCCUACCAAAAAAUACCGAAAUCAUCCGGCCCAACCACCGCAAUUGCAUUUGAAACCAUCCACGCCAAAUCACCAACAAAACGGCCUUCUGAAUUGGUUUCCGGCAAAGUUGCAUAAAAAAUGUGUACGGGUCCUUUGUGUUUCUCAAUUUUGGUUUCAGAUUAGCAAAAAUAAAACAAAAGGUCAAAUCAAAGUCGGGUUUGUUCGUUUAUUGAGGUUUGAUUUGGAAUUUCGGUCGUGGUUCUAGUCAAAAGGAUCAUUUCAAUUGAAAGCGGCUUUAAGCUAUUUACUGAUUUGUUGUAAUAAAGAUUGCAAGUGGGUCUUGAAGGCGUCUUGUAUGAAUGAAUCAAAAUUGUUUGUGAUAAAAAUAUAUGGUUCGGAGCAUACUUGCAGUCUUAGCAACUGAGUGCCGAAUAAUGUGGUUGCGACAACAAAUUUUGUGAGUGAAUUUACAACUUCAAAAUUAAUCAAUCACAAGAGAAUACACACCCCCGCGGACAUUAUUGAAGAGAUGAAGGUUGUUUAUGGAGUUGAUAUUAACUACAUGAAAGGUUGGUGUGCAAAAGAGAAGGCGAUUGCGAUGCUUAGAGGUGGACCAGCAGAUGGAUAUAUAAAAAUGCCCCGUUAUAUCUAUAUGCUGAACCAAGUGUAUCCGCAAUAGCACAUUCGGAUGCAUAAGACAGUAGAUAACGAGUUUAAAUACUUAUUUAUUGCCUUGCAUCCCAUGAUAAGGGGUUUUGAAUUUUUUAGACCUGUUGUAGUUGUUGAUGGGGCUCAUUUAAGCGGUCCAUACGAAGGAACGUUUGUAUCGGCAAGCAUAUUAGAUGGUGCAGGUACUGUGCAUUCAUGUUUUAUUAUACUGUUUUAUUUUUAUGGUGUUUACUAUGUAUUCUAUGAGUUUAUACAUUGAUGUUUUAUGUAUAAUAAUUCAUAGAGCUGCUAAAUUAGUACUUUUA